AAAAUCGUACGACUCUUCCUCUCUACCAAAACAAUCAGAACUAAAAUUCUUCUCACAAUGCUUCCCUCUCAACCAAAACAAAAUUUUUGUAAUGCAACUUCUAUCCCUUUCCCCCUUUUUUACGAGCUCCUCUUUUCUUCCUUCAACAACGAAACCCUAAAAUUUUCAAAAAAUCAUUUCCUUCGUUCUCUCUCCACUUUUACUCAUCAGUGGUUUUCUCUCUUGUUCCAUAAUAUAUUUCUUGCCCCCUUAGAUCCCUUCGAAUACCUUCCAGAACUCUCGCAAAUAAAAGAAACCCUAAAUCCUCGUUAUAUCUCAUAUCUCUCCCUCCUUUGUCAUUUAAUCCUUCUACUUGCGUGA
Molecule: non-coding RNA, 360 nt
Organism: Vicia faba (fava bean)
Lineage: Eukaryota; Viridiplantae; Streptophyta; Magnoliopsida; Fabales; Fabaceae
Source: the annotation of a GenBank genome assembly